GGCGCGGUGAAUAUGCCCCUGCUCCUUGCACACACCGCCCGUCAAACCAUCUUAGUUGGGGGUGGGUGAGGCUACCUUUAAUUGGGGUAUUCGAGCCUGCCUUCGACAAGGAGGGUUAAGUCGUAACAAGGUACCUGUAGGGGAACCUGCAGGUGGAUCACCUCCUAAG
This 169-nucleotide ribosomal RNA is filed under the name Candidatus Poseidoniales archaeon. Its description in RNAcentral is "partial 16S ribosomal RNA". It matches the Rfam family "Archaeal small subunit ribosomal RNA", at positions 1312 to 1478 of the family's 1478-position model. Lineage: Archaea; Methanobacteriati; Thermoplasmatota; Candidatus Poseidoniia; Candidatus Poseidoniales. The record is from RNAcentral.